UUUUAUCAUUGGUUUGAGAUUAUCCCUCUACAUCAUGUCAUCUUGCUUAAGGCGUUACUCUGUUCCUAUGGACUUAAUAGACUAGAUGCAUGCUGGAUAGAGGUCGACGUGUGGAGUAAUAGUAGUACAUGCAGACAGUAUUGGUCUACUUGUUUUGGACGUGAUGCCUAUAGAAAUAAUCAUUGCAUAGAUAUCAUCACGACUUUGCGUGGUUCUAUCAAUUGCUCGACAGUAAUUUGUUCACCCACCAUCUACUUGCUUUCAUGAGAGAAGCCACUAGUAAACACUACGGCCCUCGGGUCUAUUCACAUCCAUCGUUUACACCUCCGCUUUUACUUUGCUUUGUUACUUUGUUGCUUUCAGUUCUCACUUGGCAAACAAUCUAUAAGGGAUUGACAACCCCUUCAUAGCGUUGGGAGCAAGCUUUUGUGUUUGUGUAGGAUCUUGUGAUACUCUUCCACCAGAUUGAUACCUUGGUUCUCAAACUGAGGGAAAUACUUACCACCGCUGUGCUACAUCACCCUUUUCGCUUCGAGGGAACACCAACGCAAGGCUCCAAGGCCACGGGGAAAAUCCUUUGCAUACUUUCCUAGGAAGUCUCUUAAGGCGUAGCCGCAACUGAAGGAUUCUUGGUGCCAUCAACACGACAAUUUCUGGCGCCGUUGCAAGGGAAGCACAACUGACAUCAAGGCAUCACGUCCAAGAUUAGUAGACGACCUCCUGCCUGCAUCUAGUACCAUUACUCCACACACCGACCGCUAUCCAGCAUGCAUCUAGGGUAUUAAGUUCAUGGAAAAUGAAGUAAUGCGAUAAGAAUGAUGACACGAUGUAGACAAGAUCUAUUUAUGUAGAAAUAGACCCUAUCUUGUUAUCCUUAAUAGCAAUGAUACAUAUGUGUCAUUUCCCUUUCUAUCACUGGGAUCAAGCAUCGUAAGAUCGAACCCAUCACAAAGCACCUCUUCCCAUUGCAAGAUAAAUAGAUCAAGUUUGCCAAACAAAACCCAAAUAUCGGAGAAUAAAUACGAGGCUAUAAUCAAUAACGAAUAUAAGAGAUCAAAGAAGACUCAAAAAACUUUCAUUGAUAAAAACAUAGAUCUGACCAUAAACUCAAAGUUCAUCGGAUCCCAACAAACACACCGCAAAAAUACUUACAUCAUAUGGAUCUCCAAGAGACCAUUGUAUUGAUAAUCAAGAGCUCUAAGUCGUUGGUGGGAAAAGUAUGCUUUUGGAGAUCCAUAUGUUGUAAGUCUUUUUGCGGUGUGUUUGUUAGGACCCGAUGAACUUUGAGUUUAUGAUCAGAUCUAUGUUUUUAUCCAUGAAAUUUAUUUGAGUCUUCUUUGAUCUCUUAUAUGCGUGAUUGAUUAUAGCCUCGUAUUUAUUCUCCGAUAUUUGUUUUUUUUUGGCUAACUUGAUCUAUUUAUCUGGCAAUGGGAAGAGGUGCUUUUUGAUGGGUUCGAUCUUAUGGUGCUUGAUCCCAGUGUCAGAAAGGGAAACGACAAGUACGUAUCGUUGCUAUUAAGGAUAACAAGAUGGGGUCUAUUUCUACAUAAAUAGAUCUUGUCUACAUCGUGCCAUCGUUCUUAUUGCAUUACUCCGUUUUCCAUGAACUUAAUACACUAGAUGCAUGCUGGAUAGCGGUCGAUGUGUGGAGUAAUAGUAGUAGAUGCAGGCAGGAGUUCGUCUGCUAAUCUUGGACGUGAUGCCUAUACAAUGAGCAUUGCCUGGAUAUCAUCAUGAUUAUUUGAAGUUCUAUCAAUUGCCCAACAGUAAUUGUUUUCCCACCGUUUGCAAUUUUUCUCGAGAGAAGCCACUAGUGAAACCUACGGUCCCCGGGUCUCUUUUCAUCAUAUUUGCCUUUGCGAUCUAUUUUCCUUUGCUUUUAUUUUCAGAUCUAUUAAACCAAAAAUACAAAAAUAUCUUGCUGCAAUUUAUUUGUUCCGCGAUCUAUUUAUCCUAUCUACCCCUUUUACCUUACGUUAUUUGCCUAUCUUGAGGCGCCAUACCCGAAAGGGAUUGACAACCCCUUUAACAUGUCGGGUUGUGAGUAUUUGUUAUUUGUGUGGAGGUGCAGUUUACGUGGUGUGAGGAGGUUCUCCUACUGGUUCGAUAAUCUUGGUCACAUCAGUGAGGGAAAUACCUACUGUUGCUAUACUGCAUAAUCCCUUCCUCUUUGGGGAAAUACCGACGUAGUUCUAGCAUACAUCAGGGAUCACCUUAUAAUGUUACCGUCGUCCUAAGCAAAAUAAGGUGCAUAAAAGGAUUAACAUCACAUGCAAAUCAUAAGUGACAUGAUAUGUCCAUGAACUUGUGCUUCUUGAUCUCCAUCAUCAAAGCACCGGAAUGAUCUCCAUCGUCACCGGCGCCACACCAUGAUCUCCAUCAUUGUGUUGCCAUCGAGGUUGUCGCGCUAACUAUGUUGUUACUACUGAAGCUACUGCCUAGCGAUAUAGCAAGAGCAUCUACGAGCGCAAAAUAAAUUUAAAGACAACCCUAUGGCUCCUGAAGGUUGUCGUAUCAUCAACGUGCAACUCGAUAUUUAACUAUUACAACAUGAUCAUCUCAUACAUCCAAUAUAUCAUAUCAUGUCUUUGGCCAUAUCACAUCACAUGCAUACGAGGGAAAAACAAGUUAGACGCCCUCUAAUUUGUUGUUGAAAAUUUUACAUGGCUGCUAUGGGAUUUACAAGCCCUUUAACACGCCGGUUUGCGAGUAUUUCUUAUUUGUGUGCAUGUGUUGUUUACGUGGUGUGAGGAGGUUCUCCUACUGGUUCAAUAACUUUGGUCUCAUCACUGAGGGAAAUACCUACAGUCGCUAUACUGCAUCAUCCCUUCCUCUUUAGGGAAAUACCGACGUAGUUCUAGCAUACAUAAUGUAUCUAAUGUAAUAUAACUUCUCCAUGGCUUAUAGCACCGAUACAAUCGAUAGUUCCAUCAAAACGAGCAAAACAAUGCAUCAAAAAACAAAAUGUGACAAAAACAGGACAGUCGUAGUAAUUUGUUCAUUAACCAUACUUAUGUAACUCUAAAACUUCUGAAAACUUAGGACGAAAUAAACAAUUUGCAUUUUAGUAAUGUGUAAAAAUUUCAGAAACUUUGAAAAUUCAAGUAAAAAAUGUAAAUUCACGCAUUACACCCAAAGUUUUUGUUUUUGCACUGCAUACACCAAACAAGCAAUCUAAUAUCCUAAAGGCAAAUCUUGGCACAUUAUUUUUAUAAUACAAUGGAUUUUACAAGGGGAUAAUUGUUUUUGUUGAAAAGUUUGUGUAAUUAAAAUUUGCAAAGUUUCCUUGGGCAUGAACAAAGUUCAAGGAGCUCCCCCACUUCAGCGGUGCUCGUCUUUCUUACUUUCACUUCUCUUUUUGAAAAAAAUUUAGGUUCCCCUCUUUAUUUGGGGGUUUUGUUUUUAAACUAUAUAAAAGCACACAACAAAGUAAAAUGACUUUCUAAAACAACCAGGUUGUCUCCUGGCAGUGCUUUCUUUAAAGCGAUUAAGCUAGGCAUAAAGUGCUCAACUAAUGGAUCCACCCGGAUCCCAAGGUAUAUCAAAGCCAAUUUUAAUUAACAAUGAUUUUUAAUUUAGUAGUGAGCACAAAGUAACAUAUAUAAUGCAACAACGAAGUCAAAAUCUCUUCCUAUGGAUCGGCAUGUCAUAAAAGAACAAUUCAUGCACACAAAGUAAAGGCCAAUGCAUAGUAUAAACAAUUUCUUGUAAUUUUAUCAUAUUGGAAACAUAUAGAGGUGGAGAUGUAGUUACUCUCUCGUAAUAACUGCAAGUAGGAGCAACAAACACAUGCAUAUUAUAUUCAUUAAAAUCAUCAUGUGUAAUGGUAAAACGCAACCCAUCAAUAUAAUCCUUAAAAGCGCAAACUUCUUCGAUAUAGUGUAGUUGGGAGAACUCAAAAAGAUAAUAGGACUAUCAUGCGUGGGUGCAAUAGCGACAAUUUCAUUCUUAACAUGAGGAACUAUAGCAAGUUAAUCUCGAUAAUCAUCAUUCAUAUUGGCAUCAUGGCCACAAGCAUAGCAAUCAUCAAGUUCAUCAAAAAGGAAUAUUUCAAACGAAUCGAAGGGAUCAUAGAAACUAUCAUAGCAUUCUUCCUUAGGUAAGCACGAAGGGAAAUUAAAAAAUGUAUGAGUUGAAUAGUUACUCUCAUUAGAAGGUGGACACGGUUAGCUAAUCCGCUCUUCCUCCUUUUGUUCUUCGCUCUCCUCCUCAUCUUUUUCAUCCAAUGAGCUCACAGUAUCAUCAAUUUCUUCUUCCAUAGUUUCCUGUAAAAUAUUAGUCUCCUCUUGGACAACAGAGGAGUCCUCAAUAUAUGGCUUAACAUAAGCAUUAGAAGCAUAGUUUUCAUAGCAAUAUUUAAGUAUGGAAAAACUUUUAGAUUUGUACAAAGUAGCAUCAUACUUUUAAAUCAAAGAAGCAAUUUCAUAGGCACCCUUAAAAGCAACAACCACUUCUAUUUGUUCCACAUCAUAGUAAUUAAAAACACCCUUGGCAUAAGAAAAUACAAUUUCAUUAUCCUUAAACUCACAUUGAUAGGGAAGGUGUUUUUAGGGUCUUUAGAACAACAAGUAAAAUCAUAAAUUUCGCAUAAAUUUCAAGCAUAGCAUUGCAAAGUAUUAAUAUGAUGCCAUAAAAAAUUUCCUUUUUGAGAUAAGCGUUGUCGUACAUAAUAAGCAUGCUCAUUUAAUGAUUUCCCUCAACUAAGCUAGUUGGGGUUUCAACAUGAUCACAAAAGGAUCGAAGAUGACCCAAGUAAUAUUCUUCGGUGGUACGGAACACUAGUGGUUCCUCAACUUUUGGAGCAGCAAGUACAUCUAAUUUUUUUGGUAUUUUAAGUUUCCUACCCAUAACUAAAGAUAGAAAAUAACUUAAGCGACAAAUAAAAUCUACUUAGUGAUAAAGCAAACAAGAACACACGAGAAUAUUCACCCCACGCUAUUGCUGCCCGAAAACGGCUCGAGAGAAAGGUCUUGAUAACCCACAAGUAUAGGCGAUCAAUUGUAGCCUUUCUCGAUAAGUAAGAGUGUCAAACCCAACGAGUAGUAAAGGUAGAACAAAUAUCUUCUCAAGUUCUAUCGACCACCAAUACAACUCUACGCAUGCUUAACGUUCGCUUUACCUAGAACAAGUAUGAAACUAGAAGUACUUUGUAGGUGUGAUAGGCUAGGUUUGCAAGAAAAUAAGUACACGUAAAUAAAAACUAGGGGCUGCUAAGAUGAAGAAACAACUAAGUUAGUCUUAGUAGAGAGCUUUUUGUCACAAGAAGGUUAUUUGUCUCUAGGCAAUCGAUAACUAGACCGGUAAUCAUUAUUGCAAUUUUAUAUGAGGGAGAGGCAUAAGCUAACAUACUUUCUCUACUUGGAUCAUAUGCACUUAUGAUUGGAACUCUAGCAAGCAUCCGCAACUACUAAAGAUCAUUAAGGUAAAACCCAACCAUAACAUUAAGUAUCAAGUCCUCUUUAUUCCCAUACGUAAACAACCAACUUACUCGGGUAUGUGUUUCUUUCACUCACGCCACCCACCAUAGGCAGAUCAUGAACACAUUGCAACACCCUAAAAUGGGGAACCCUCACGCUUGUGCGACACGGAGAGCACCAUAGGACAACACCAAUAAUAAAACAUGGAACUCAAACCAAUCAUGAUCAUCAAUCAACCCAUAGGACAAAACGGAUCUACUCAAACAUCAUAGGACAGCCAUACAUCAUUGGGAAAUAAUACAUAGCGUUGAGCACCAUGUUUAAGUAACCACUCACAAAGCAUAAUCAUAUUCAUGACCAUAGAGGUAAUGAGUAGCAUCAAGGAUCUGAACAUAAACUCUUCCACCAAGUAAUCCAACUAGCAUCAACUACAAAGAGUAAUCAACACUACUAGCAACCUUACAAGUACCAAUCGGAGUCGCGAGACGGAGAUUGGUUACAAGAGAUGAACUAGGGUUUGGAGAUGAGAUGGUGCCGAUGAAGAUGUUGAUGGUGAUGAGUCCCCUCUGAUGAGAGGAGUGUUGGUGAUGACGAUGGCGACGAUUUCCCCCUCCGGGAGGGAAGUUUCCCUGGCAGGAUCGUCGUGCCGGGGCUCUAGAUUGGUUCUGCUCAAGUUCCGCCUCGUGGCUGUGGCGAAACCACGAAAAAGAUCCUCCCUAAUUUUUUCCUGGACGAAACCCUCCAUAUAGCAAAAGAGGGGGGCAAGUGGGCCUGCAGGGUGCCCACAAGCCCUCAUGGCGCGACCAGGGGGUGGCCGCACCGUGCAGGCUUGUGGCCACCUGCACGCCCCCCUCUAGCACUUCUUCGUCCUAGUAUUUUUGAUAAAUCAGGAAAAAAUCCUCGUUGAUUUUUACGGCGUUUGGAGUUGCGCAGAAUAGGUAUCUCAAACUUGCUGCACUUUUAGGCCAGAAUUCCAGUUGCCGGUAUUCUCCCUUUUCAUGUAAACCUUGCAAAAUAAGAGAGAAAAGGCAUAAGAAUUGUACCAUGAAGUGAAAUAAGAGCCCAAGAAGCGAUAAAUAUCAACAUGAAAACAUGAUGCAAAAUGGACGUAUCACCUCCCUUCGGCAUGGUGCCGGGAAGAGGUCUCUUGACGCUCCCGAUCUCGGAAGCGCUGCGGCGGCGGAACAAUGGAGAAAUUCACGAUUCUGGAUAUGAUGGAAAGGUUUCCGGUUGGAGGGAUAAAUAUAGGCCAAAGGAGGGCGUCAGAGGAGGUGGGUCCCACACAGGCGACCUGUGGGCGCCACCAGGGGCCACACCACGCAGGGAGGCCGCCUAGGCAGCCCCUGGCUCCCCUCUGGCCCAUCUUCGGUGCUCAGGAAGCUUCCGUCACGCUGAUUUUUUAUAUAUUCUUCUCGGGAUUUUUGGGACUCUGUAAAUUUGGGUAAAAGUCCCUGCAAAAAAGACAUCAGUAAACAGGAACUGGCACUGGGUGCACUGAGUUAGUAGGUUAGUCCAAAUUUGUGUAAAAAGAUAUGGAAGAGUAGCAAAACAUAUAACAAUGUCAACCAAAAGAUCAUGGAACAAGCAGAAAUUAUAGAUACGUUUGGGACGAAUAAGGACUUCAUUUGAUAUAGAUUUUCUGCGAAACAAAAAACAUGCAACAAGCAGGAACUGGCACUGGGCAGUCAAUCAAUAUGUUAGUCCCAAAAAUAGUACAAAAGUUGCAAAAAGUAUAUGAAAGUUGUAGAAUAUUGGCUUGAAACAAUCAGAAAUUAUAGAUACGACGAAGACGUAUCAUGGAACAAGAGAGUAACUUAUUGGAAGUAAUACAUUUUGAUCUAUGCAAUCCAAUGAGUGCCGAGGCACGCAGUGGAUAUCAUUAUGUUCUUACUUCAUAGAUAAAUUGAGUAGAUACUGGUAUAUUUACUUGAUGAAACAGAAGUUUGAAUUAUUGAAAGGUUCAAGUAAUUUGAGAGUGAAGUGGAAGAUCGUCAUGACAAGAGGAUGAAAUGUCUACAAUAUGAUCGUAGAGAUGAAUAUCUGAGUUGUGAGUUUGGUACACAAUUAACACAAUGUAGAAAUUGUUUCACAACAAAUGCCGGCUGGAACACCAUAGUGUGAUGGUGUGUCCGAACAUCGUAGUUGUGCCCCAGUAAGAUAUGGUGCAUACUAUGAUGUCUCUUAUCGAAUUACCACUAUCGUUUGGGGUUAUACAUUGAAGACAACAACAUUCACUUUAAUAGGGCCCCGCGUAGUUUCGUUGAGAUGACACUGUAUGAACUAUGGUUUGGAGAAACCUAAGGUGUCAUUUCUUAAAAGUUUGAGGCUACGAUGCUUAUGACAAAAGGUUUUGUCCUGAUAAGAUCGAACCCAAAGCGGAUAAAUGCAUCUUCAUAGGAUACCCAAAAUAGUUGGAUGUACUUCCUAUCUCAGAUCCGAAAGGAAAGUAUUUGUUUCAGGAAAUGAGUCCUUUCUCGAGAAAUAGUUUCUCUCGAAAGAAUUGAGUGGAGGACGAUGGAACUUGAAAGGUUAUUGAACCAACACUUCAACCAGAGAGUGGAAGGGCGUAGGAAAUUGUUCCUGUGGCGCCUAUACCAGUUGAAGUGGAAGCUAAUGAUGGUGAUCAUGAAGAUUCAUAUCAAGUUACUUCCAUACCUCGUAGGUCGACAAGGACACGCACUACUCCAGAGUGCUACGAUAAUCAUGUUUUGGAGGUCAUGUUGCUGGACAACAAUGAACCUACGAGCUAUGGACAAGCGAUGGUGGGCUCGGAUUCCGACAAAUGGAUGGAGGCCAUGAAAUCCGAGAGAGGAUCCAUGUAUGAAAACAGAGUGUGGACAUUGGAGGUACUACUUGAUGGUCGUAAGACUGUUAAGUGCAGAUGGAUCUUUAAAAGGACGACAUACGAUGAUAUUGAAAGUCACCAUUUAUAAAGCUUGACUUGUUGCAAAGAAGUUUUCGACAAGUUCAAGGAGUUGACUACGACGAGACUUUCUCACUCGUAGCGAUGCUGACAGUCUGUUGGAAUUAUAUUAGCAAUUGCUGCAUUUUCAAUUAUGGAGUCUUGCAGAUGGAUGUUAAAACAUUGUUUCCUCAAUGGUUUCCUCGAGGAAAGGUUGUAUGUGAUACAACGAGAAGGUUUUGUCGGUCCUAAGGAUGCUAACAAGUAUGCAAGCUCCAGCAAUCCUUCUAAGGACUGGAGUAAGCAUCUCAGAGUUGGAAUAUGCGCUUUGAUGAGAUGAUCAAAGGUUUUGGGUUUAUACAAAGUUUAUGAGAAACUUGUAUUUCCAAGUAAGUGAGUGGGAGCGGUAUAGAAUUUCUGAUGAGUAUAUAUGGUUGACAUAUUGUUGAUCGGAAAUGAUGUAGAAUUUCUGGAAAGCAUAAAGGGUUGUUUGAAAGGAGUUUUUCAAAGGAAAUCCUAGAUUGAGCUACUUCAACAUUAUGCAUCAGGAUCUAUAGAGAUAGAUCAAGACGCUUGAUGAAACUUUCGAUGAAUACAUACCGUGACAAGAUUUUGAAGGAGUUCAAAAUAGAUCAGUCAAAGAAGGAGUUCUUGGUUGUGUUAUAAGGUGUGAAUAUGGAGUAAGACUCAAAGCCCGACCACGACAUAAGAAAGAGAAAGGACGAAGGUCAUCCCCUAUCCAUUACCGUAGGCUUUGUAGUAUGAUAUGUUGUGUACCGCACCUAAUGUGUGCCUUGCCAUGAAUCUGUCAAGGGGUACAAAAGUGAUCCAGGAGUGGAUUACUAGACAACGGUCAAAAGUUAUCAUUAGUAACUAGUGGACUAAGGAAUUUUUCUCGAUUAUUGUAACGCCCAAGAUGCGAUCCUAUCCUUAUUUAGGCACGAGGGCCUCGACAGGUAUAGAAGCGCAUCUCAUCAUUUUGCAAGAAUGGAUAUCGUUACUACUACAUGUACUGGAAAUAUGAGAUAUAUGGAAUUUGUUGGGGAACGUCGCAUGGGAAACAAAAAAUUACCUACGUGCACGAAAACCUAUCAUGGUUAUGUCCAUCUACGAGAGGGGAUUUCCGAUCUACGUACCUUUGUAGAUCGCACAGCAGAAGCGUUAAUAAACACGGUUGAUGUAGUGGAACGUCCUCACGUCCCUUGAUCCGCCACGCGAACCGUCCCACGAACUGUCCCGCGAUCCGUCCCACGAUCUAGUGCUGAACGGACGGCACCUCCGCGUUCAGCACACGUACAGCUCGACGAUGAUCUCGGCCUUCUUGAUCCAGCAAGAGAGAUGGAGAGGUAGAUGAGUUCUCCGGCAGCGUGACGGUGCUCUGGAGGUUGGUGGUGAUCUAAUCUCAGCAGGGCUCCGCCCGAGCUCUGCAGAAACGCGAUCUAGAGGAAAAACUGUGGAGGUAUGUGGUCGGGCUGCCGUGGAAAAGUUGUCUCAAAUCAGCCCUAAAACCUCCGUAUAUAUAGGUGGGAGGGGAGGAGCCUUGCCUUGGGGCUCAAUAGGCCCCAAGGGGUUUGGCCGAUGGGGGGGGGGAGGAGGAUUCCUCCUCCAAUCCUAGUCCAACUAGGAUUGGAAGGUGGAGUCCUUCCCUUCCUUCCCACUUCCCCUUUUUUUCUUUUCUCUUUGAUUUUAUUAUCUCCUGCGCAGGGGCCUCUCUGGGCUUGCCCACCAGCCCACUGAGGGCUGGUGCGGCACCCCUAAGGCCUAUGGGCUUCCCCGGGGUGGGCUUCCCCCCCGGUGAACUCCCGGAACCCAUUCGUCAUUCCCGGUAACUCCGAAAACCUUCCGGUAAUCAAAUGAGGUCAUCCUAUAUAUCAAUAUUCGUUUCCGGACCAUUUCGGAAACCUUGGUGACAUCCGUGAUCUCAUCCGGGCUCCUUCGGUAACCAACCAUAUAACUCAAAUACGCAUAAAACAACGUCGAACCUUAAGAGUGCAGACCCUGCGGGUUCGAGAAUUUGUAGACAUGACCCGAGGGACUCCUCGGUCAAUAUGCAACAGCGGGACCUGGAUGCCCAUAUUGGAUCCUACAUAUUCUACGAAGAUCUUAUCGUUUGAACCUCAGUGCCAAGGAUUCAUAUAAUCCCGUAUGUCAUUCCCUUUGUCCUUCGGUAUGUUACUUGCCCGAGAUUCGAUCGUUAGUAUCCGCAUACCUAUUUCAAUCUCAUUCAUCGGCAAGUCUCUUUACUCGUUCCGUAAUACAAGAUCCCGCAACUUACACUAAUUCACAUUGCUUGCAAGGCUUGUGUGUGAUGUUGUAUUACCAAGUGGGCCCCGAGAUACCUCUCCGUCACACGGAGUGACAAAUCCCAGUCUUGAUCCAUACUAACUCAACGGACACCUUCGGAGAUACCUGUAGAGCAUCUUUAUAGCCACCCAGUUAUGUUGUGACGUUUGAUACACACAAAGCAUUCCUCCGGUGUCAGUGAGUUAUAUGAUCUCAUGGUCAUAGGAAUAAAUACUUGACACGCAGAAAACAGUAGCAACAAAAUGACACGAUCAACAUGCUACGUCUAUUAGUUUGGGUCUAGUCCAUCACAUGAUUCUCCCAAUAAUGUGAUCCAGUUAUCAAGCAACAACACCUUGCUCAUAGCCAGAAGACCCUCACUAUCCUUGAUCAACUAGCUAGCCAACUAGAGGCUUGCUAGGGACGGUGUUUUGUCUAUGUAUCCACACAUGUAUCUAAGUCUUCAUUCAAUACAAUUAUAGCAUGGAUAAUAAACGAUUAUCUUGACACAUGAAUUAUAAUAAUAACUUAUUUAUCAUUGCCUCUAGGGCAUAAUUCUAACAGUCUCCCACUUGCACUAGAGUCAAUAAUCUAGCCCUCACAUCACCAUGCGAAUUACAUUGUAAUAAAUCUAACACCCGUACAGUUCUGGUGUUGAUCAUGCUUUGCCCGUGGAAGAGGUUUAGUCAGCGGGUCUGCUACAUUCAGAUCCGUGUGCACUUUGCAUAUAUUUACGUCCUCCCCUUUGACGUAGUCGCGGAUGAGGUUGAAGCGUCGUUUGUAGUGUCUGGUCUUCUUGUGAAACCGUGGUUCCUUUGCUAAGGCAAUGGCACCAGUGUUGUCACAGAACAAGGUUAUUGGAUUCAGUGCGCUUGGCACCACUCCAAGAUCCGUCAUGAACUGCUUCAUCCAGACACCCUUCUUAGCCGCCUCUGAGACAGCCAUGUACUCUGCUUCACAUGUAGAAUCAGCUACGACGCUUUGCUUGGAAGUGCACCAGCUUACCGCACCCCCAUUAAGAAUAAAUACGUAUCCGGUUUGUGACUUAGAGUCGUCCGGGUCUGUGUCAAAGCUUGCAUCGACGUAACCUUUUAUGGCGAGCUCUUUGUCACCUCCAUACACGAGAAACAUCUCCUUAGUCCUUUUCAGGGACUUCUGGAUAUUCUUGACCGCCGUCUAGUGAUCCACUCCUGGAUUACUCUGGAACCUGCCUGCCAUACUUAUGGCCAGGCUAACGUCCGGUCUAGUUCACAACAUUGCAUACAUGAUAGAACCUAUGGCUGAAGCAUAGCGUACGAUGCUCAUAUGCUCUCUAUCUUUAUCAGUUGCUGGGCACUGAGUCUUACUCAAUCUCGUACCUUGUAAAACUUGCAAGAACAACUUCUUGGACUGUUCCAUUUUGAACCUUUUCAAAACUUUAUCAAGGUAUGUGCUUUGUGAAAGUCCUAUCAGGUGUUUUGAUCUAUCCCUAUAGAUCUUAAUGCCUAGAAUGUAAGCAGCUUCUCCUAGGUCCUUCAUAGAGAAACUUUUAUUCAAGUAAUCCUUUACGCUCUCCAAAAACUCCACGUUGUUUCCAAUCAGUAAUAUGUCAUCCACAUAUAAUAUUAGAAACGCCACAGAGCUCCCACUCACUUUCUUGUAAAUACAAGAUUCUCCAACCACUUGUAUAAACCCAAAUGCUUUGAUCACAUCAUCAAAGCGUUUAUUCCAACUCCGAGAUGCUUGCACGAGUCCAUAAAUGGAUUGUUGGAGCUUGCAUACCUUGUUAGCAUUUUUAGGAUCGACAAAACCUUCGGGUUGCAUCAUAUACAACUCUUCCUUAAGGAAACCGUUAAGGAACACCGUUUUGACAUCCAUCUGCCAGAUUUCAUAAUCGAAAAUUGCACCUAUUGCUAACAUGAUUCUGACUGACUUAAGCAUCGCUACGAGUGAGAACGUCUCAUCGUAGUCAACUCCUUGAACUUGUGAAAAACCCUUUGCCACAAGUCGAGCUUUAUAAACGGUCACAUUACCAUCAGCGUUUGUCUUCUUCUUAAAGAUCCAUAUGUUCUGAAUAGCCUUGCGGCCCUCAGGUAGUACUUCCAAAGUCCACACUUUGUUUUCAUACAUGGAUCCUAUCUCGGACUUCAUGGCCUCCAUCCAUUUGUUGGAAUCCGGACCCACCAUUGCUUCUUCAUAAUUUGCAGGCUCAUUGUUGUCUAACAACAUAAUUGAUAAGACGGGAUUACCGUACCACUCUGGAGUAGUACGCGGUCUUGUCGACCUGCGAGGUUCGAUAGGAACUUCAUCCGGAGUUUCAUGAUCAUCAUCAUUAACUUCCUCCUCAACCGGCGUCGCAACGACACGGGUUUCCCCUUGCCCUGCGCCACCAUCCAGAGGGAUGAGAGGUUCGACAACCUCAUCAAGUUCUAUCUUCCUCCCACUCAAUUCUCUCGAGAGAAACUCCUUCUCGAGAAAAGCUCCGUUCUUAGCAACAAAAACUUUGUCCUAGGAUUUGAGAUAGAAGGUGUACCCAACUGUCUUUCGGGUAACCUAUGAAGAUGCACUUUUCCGCUUUGGGUUCCAGCUUUUCAGGCUGAAGCUUUUUGACAUAAGCAUCACAUCCCCAAACAUUAAGAAACGAAAACUUUCGAUAUUUUGCCAUACCACAUUUCGUAUGGUGUCGUCUCAACGGAUUUUGAUGUUGCCCUAUUUAAAGUGAAUGCAGUUGUUUCUAAUGCAUAACCCCAAGAUGAUAACGACAGACCGGUAAGAGACAUCAUAGAUCACACCAUCUCUAAUAAAGUACGAUUACGACGUUCGGACACACCAUUACGCUGUGGUAUUCUAGGUGGUGUCAACUGUGAAACAAUUCCACAUUGUCUUAAGUGAGCACCAAACUCAAAACUCAGAUAUUCACCCCCAUGAUCAGACCGUAGGAAUUUGAUCUUCUUGUUACGAUGAUUUUCAACUUCACUCUAAAAUUGCUUGAACUUUUCAAAUGUUUCAGACUUGUGCUUCAUUAAGUAGACAUAACCACUUCUACUCAAAUCGUCAGUGAAGGUGAGAAACUAACGAUAUCCGCCGCGUGCCUCCACGCUCAUCGGACCACACACAUCGGUAUGUAUGAUUUCCAACAAGUCACUUGCACGCUCCAUUGUUCCGGAGAACGGAGUUUUAGUCAUCUUGCCCACGAGGCAUGGUUCACAUGUGUCAAGUGAAUUGAAGUCAAGUGACUCCAAAAGUCCAUCGGUAUGGAGUUUCUUCAUGUGCUUUACACCAAUAUGACCUAAGCGGCAGUGCCACAAAAACGUGGCGCUAUUAUUGUUAACUCUAACUCUUUUGGUCUCAAUGUUAUGUAUAUGUGUAUUAUCACUAUCAAGAUUCAAUAUGAACAAUCCUCUCACAUUGGGUGCAUGACCAUAAAAGAUAUUACUCAUAGAAAUAGAACAACCAUUAUUCUCUGACUAAAACGAGUAACCGUCUCGCAAUAAACAAGAUCCAGAUAUAAUGUUCAUGCUCAACGCAGGCACUACAUAAUAAUUAUUCAAGUUCAUAACUAAUCUUGAUGGUAACUGAAGUGAAACUGUGCCGACGGGGAUUGCAUCAACCUUGGAACCAUUUCCUACGCGCAUCGUCACUUCAUCUUUCGCCAGCCUUCGCCUAUUCCGCAGUUCCUGUAUCGAGUUGCAAAUAUGAGCAACAGAACCGGUAUCGAAUACCCAGGCACUACUACGAGAGCUGGUUAAGUACACAUCAGUAACAUGUAUAUCAUAUAUACCUAAUUUUUCUUUGGCCGCCUUCUUAUCAGCCAGAUACUUGGGGGAGUUGCGCUUCAAGUGACCCAUACCCUUGCAAUAAUAGCACUCCGUUUCAGGCUUAGGUCCAGCUUUGGGUUUCUUCGUCGGAUUGGCAACAGGUUUGCCGCUCUUCUUUGAAUUACCCUUCUUUCCUUUGUCGUUUCUCUUGAAACUAGUGGUCUUAUUCACCAUCAACACUUGAUGUUCUUUACGGAGUUCUGACUCUGCGACUUUCAGCAUCGCGAACAACUCGCCGGGUGACUUGUUCAUCCCUUGCAUGUUGUAGUUCAACACAAAGCCCUUAUAGCUUGGCAACAGUGAUUGAAGAAUUCUGUCAGUGAUAGCCUCUUGCAGGAGUUCAAUCCCCAGCUCAGCUAGACGGUUUGAAUACCCAGACAUUUUGAGCACGUAUUCACUGACAGAUGAAUUCUCCUCCAUCUUGCAAGCAUAGAAUUUAUCGGAGGUCUCAUACCUCUCGAUCCGGGCGUUCUUCUGAAAGAUAAACUUCAACUCCUGGAACAUCUCAUUUGCUCCAUGAGGCUCAAACCGACGUUGAAGUCCCGGUUCUAAGCCAUACAAGACUGCACAUUGAACUACUGAGUAGUCCUCCUUACGUGAUAACCAAGCGUUCUUAACAUCUUGGUCAGCCGGAGCGGGUGGUUCAUCUCCUAGCGCAGCAUCAAGGACAUAAUCCUUCUUCCCAGCUUGUAGGAUCAACUUAAGAUUACAAGCCUAGUCUACAAAGUUGCUUCCAUCAUCUUUCAACUUAACUUUCUCUAGGGAUGUAUUAAAAUUCAGGGUGAUUGUCGCGUGAGCCAUGAUCUACAACACAAAUAUAUUCAAAGUGGACUUAGACUAUGUUCAAGAUAAUUAAAGUUUAACUUAAUCAAAUUACUUGCUAAACUCCCAUUCAAAAAGUGCAUCUCUCUAGUCAUUUGAGUGGUUCAUGGUCCAAUUCCACUAGCUCAAGUCCGAUCAUCACGUGAGUUGAGGAUAGUUUUAGUGGUAAGCAUCCCUAUGCUAAUCAUAUCAACUAUAUGAUUCAUGAUCGAACUUUCAGUCUCAUGUGUUCCGAGGCCAUGUCUGCAGAUGCUAGGCUCGUCAAGCUUAACCCGAGUGUUCCGCGUGUGCAACUGUUUUGCACCCGUUGUAUGUGAACGUUGAGUCUGUCACACCCGAUCAUCACGUGGUGUCUUGAAACGACGAAUUGUAGCAACGGUGCACAGUCGGGGAGAACACAAUUUCGUCUUGAAAUUUUAGUGAGAGAUCACCUCAUAAUGCUACCGUCGUUCGAAGCAAAAUAAGGUGAAUAAAAGGAUUAAUAUCACAUGCAACUCAUAAGUGACAUGAUAUGGCCAUCAUCACGUGCUUCUUGAUCUCCAUCACCAAAGCACCGGCACGAUCUUCUUUGUCACCGGCGCCACACCAUGAUCUCCAUCAACGUGUAGCCAUCGGGGUUGUCGCGCUACUCAUGCUAUUACUACUAAAGCUACAUCCUAGCAAUAUAGUAAACACAUCUGCAAGCACAAACAUUAGUUUAAAGACAACCCUAUGGCUCCUGCCGGUUGCCGUACCAUCGACGUGCAAGUCGAUAUUAUCUAUUACAACAUGAUCAUCUCAUACAUCCAAUAUAUCACAUCACAUCGUUGGCCAUAUCACAUCACAAGCAUACCCUGCAAAAACAAGUUAGACGUCCUCUAAUUGUUGUUGCAUGUUUUACGUGGUGACGAUGGGUAUCUAGUAGGAUCGCAUCUUACUUAAGCAAACACCACAACGGAGAUAUAUGAAUUGCUAUUUAACCUCAUCCAAGGACCUCCUCGGUCAAUUCCGAUUCAACUAAAGUUGGAGAAACCGACACCCGCCAGUCAUCUUUGAGCAACGGAGUUACUCGUAGCUAUGAAACCAGUCUCUCGUAAGCGUAUGAGUAAUGUCGGUUCGAGCCGCUUCGAUCCAACAAUACUGCGGAAUCAAGAAAAGACUAAGGUGGGCAGCAAAUCACACAUCACCGCCCACAAAAACUUUUGUGUUCUACUCGAGAAGACAUCUACGCUUGAACCUAGCUCAUGAUGCCACUGUUGGGGAACGUCGCAUGGGAAACAAAAAAUUUCCUACGCGCACGAAAACCUAUCACGGUGAUGUCCAUCUACGAGAGGGGAUUUCCGAUCUACAUACCUUUGUAGAUCGCACAACAGAAGCGUUAAUAAACGCGGUUGAUGUAGUGGAACAUCCUCACGUCCCUCGAUCCGCCCUGCGAACUGUCCCACGAACUGUCCCGUGAUCCGUCCCACGAUCUAGUGCAGAACGGACGGCACCUCCGCGUUCAGCACACGUACAGCUCGACGAUGAUCUCGGCCUUCUUGAUCCAGCAAUACAGAUGGAGAGGUAGAUGAGUUCUCCGGCAGCGUGACGGCGCUCCGGAGGUUGGUGGUGAUCUAAUCUCAGCAGGGCUCCGCCCGAGCUCCGCAGAAACGCGAUCUAGGGGAAAAACUGUGGAGGUAUGUGGUCGGGCUGCCGUGGAAAAGUUGUCUCAAAUCAGCCCUAAAACCUCCGUAUAUAUAGGUGGGAGGGGAGGAGCCUUGCCUUGGGGCUCAAGAGGCCCCAAGGGGUUCGGCCGAUGGGGGGGGGGGGAGGAGGAUUCCUCCUCCUAUCCUAGUCCAACUAGGAUUGGAAGGUGGAGUCCUUCCCUUCCUUCCCACUUCCCCUUUUUUCUUUUCUCUUUGAUUUUCUUAUCUCCUGCGCAGGGGCCUCUCUGGGCUUGCCCACCAGCCCACUAAGGGUUGGUGCGGCACCCCUAAGGCCUAUGGGCUUCCCCGGGGUGGGCUGCCCCCCCGGUGAACUCCCGGAACCCAUUCGUCAUUCCCGGUACAUUCCCGGUAACUCCAAAAACCUUUGAGUAAUCAAAUGAGGUCAUCCUAUAUAUCAAUCUUCAUUUCCGGACCUUUCCGGAAACCCUCGUGAACAACAUUCGGUAACCAACCAUAUAACUCAAAUACGCAUAAAACAACGUCGAACCUUAAGUGUGCAGACCCUGCGGGUUCGAGAACUAUGUAGACAUGACCCGAGGGACUCCUCGGUCAAUAUCCAAUAGCGGGACCUGGAUGCCCAUAUUGGAUCCUACAUAUUCUAUGAAGAUCUUAUCCUUUGAACCUCAGUGCCAAGGAUUCAUAUAAUCCCGUAUGUCAUUCCCUUUGUCCUUCGGUAUGUUACUUGCCCGAGAUUCGAUCGUCAGUAUCCGCAUACCUAUUUCAAUCUCAUUCAUCGGCAAGUCUCUUUACUCGUUCUGUAAUACAAGAUCCCGCAACUUACACUAAGUCACAUUGCUUGCAAGGCUUGUAUGUGAUGUUGUAUUACCGAGUGGACCCCGAGAUACCUCUCCGUCACACGGAGUGACAAAUCCCAGUCUUGAUCCAUACUAACUCAACGGACAUCUUCGGAGAUACUUGUAGAGCAUCUUUAUAGCCACCCAGUUACGUUGUGACGUUUGGUACACAUAAAGCAUUCCUCCGGUGUCAGUGAGUUAUAUGAUCUCAUGGUCAUAGGAAUAAAUACUUGACACGCAGAAAACACUAGCAACAAAAUGACACGAUCAACAUGCUACGUCUAUUAGUUUGGGUCUAGUCCAUCACAUGAUUCUCCCAAUGAUGUGAUCAAGUUACCAAGCAACAACACCUUGCUUAUAGCCAGAAGACCCUGACUAUCCUUGAUCAACUAGCUAGCCAACUAGAGACUUGCUAGGGUCGGUGUUUUGUCAAUGUAUCUGCACAUGUAUCUAAGUAUUCAUUCAAUACAAUUAUAGCAUGGAUAAUAAACGAUUAUCCUGACACAUGAAUUAUAAUAAUAACUUAUUUAUCAUUGCCUCUCAGGCAUAAUUCCAACAGAAUUGGCUUAGACUCGCCACAUGCUACAUCAUAGUCACAUCAGUACAAUACAUAAACAUCAUGAAGAAGAGCAGGGUCCGACUACGGACGAAAACAAAUGAGAAAAGAAAACGACGUCCAUCCUUGCUAUCCCAAUCUGCCGGCCUGGAACCCAUCCUAGAUCGAUGAUGAAGAAGAAACUCCAAAUGAACAAUCAUCGCACUCACGUCUUAAUCACCUUACCUGUACCUUCAACUCGUAUUGUAGUAAUCUGUGAGCCACAUGGGACUCAACAAUCUCAUUUCCAAAGGUAUCAAGACUAGCAAAGCUUAAUGGGUGAGGUAUGGUUAAGUGAUGAGGCCGCAGCAAGCGACUAAGCAUUAUAUGAGGUGGCUACGUAUAGCGGAUGUGAACUACUGGUGAUCAAAUGAAUGAUCCUAAACACCUACUUACGUUAAACAUAACCCCAUCGUGUCCUCGAUCGGAGAAGGAACUCACAAAAGAGACAGUCACAGUUAUGCACUCAGUUGGCAUAUUUUAAUUAAAUUAACAUCAAGUUAUCUAAAACCAGAUGUUAAACAAAGUUUCCACGUUGCCACAUAACCGCGGGCAUGACUUUCGAAAGAUUUAACGCUGCAGGGGUGCUCCAUUUAGUCCAUCACAAAUUACCACAAGCCGAAUAGAAAUCCUCGAUCACGAAGCUCGCGAUCUCGUCGGACUCCUUAGUGGAAAACCUCAACUCUGAGAUUACCCAAAGUUUCACCGGAAUCCCGAUGCACAAGAUAUUUCGUACGUGUCAACGAACCCGAUAGGAGCCGCGUAUCUCGUUCUCAGGACACGACCGGAUGGGAAAGCAAACAGGUACCAAACCUCGAGUUCCCCGUGGUGGCCCCGCAGUCUGCCCUUUUUGGACCAACACUCAUGAGGAGCACUGCCCGGGGGUUGAUUAAUUACUCCGCGGGUGCCGGCGGGUCCCUAUGCAUUUAUUUAGUUAUCAGGCAAAUGUAAAACCAAAGUUGGGCCUUGCCAGACCAGGUUUAAUCUAAAACGAAUUAUCAAGGGGGUCCCCAUAACAACCCCGAUCGUGUUAGGAGCGCUCAAUUAUGGAAUAUAACACCGGUAGCCGAAACUAAGGGGGCAAAGGUGGAACAAAACACCAGGCUAGAAAGGCCGAUCCAUCCACCUUUUACCAAGUAUAUAGGUGCAUUAAAUUAAAUAGCAUUAAUAGGGUGAUACAACAAGGAACCCAUGUUACCACAUGGAAGCAACUGCACCUGCAACUAGCAACGCUAACACAUGGUUAAGCAAGCAGUAACAUAGCCAAUCAGUGGUUUGCUAGGUUGUGAACAUGUUGAAGGUUUCAUGGCAAUGUUGAGAGGCUGAUAUUUAACAGGUGGUAGGCAACGAGACAUAGCGAAAGAAACAAUAAAACUGGCAUGGCAUUGAUAGUAAUGGUAUCUAGGGAAAUGAUCAUCUUGCCUGGGAUCCAGCUUGGAAGAAGAAUGACGGAACUCUAUCGAGACGAAGCAAACCGAAAACAAGCAUCAACACAUAUAUUCACCACGGCACAUGCAUGACAAGAUGCAAUCCACAUAUGAUGCAUGAUCAGUUGAAUAUAUGCAAGACAUGACAUGGCAACUCACAACCAUCAAACACUACACAUUAAGUGAAGUUCAAUAUGCAACAAGUUGCAUAUUGGCGGAACUCGACAUACGAAUUAUUUAGUUCUAUCCCGAUUAGGUACACGGCAAUAUUAAUUGUGGAUAAACAUGGCAAGAGGUGAAGCGUAAUUAAUCUACCUAGCGCAUAUUAAAUGAGGUCGGAAAUGAGAUAUAGCAUCUCCGAGAUGACCUCAUGCGUUAAUUUAUAAUUCUGUCCAGAUCUGAACUAACAUGUUUUAAUAUUUGUUAAACAGAAAAAUAAAUAGGUUCACGUGAUUCUACGCGACGUUCCAAUCAAUUUAUACAUAGAGAACAUCUCCAACGGAGCUACGGUUCAAAAGAUGUGAUCAACGCAAGAUAUGAUGGCAUGAAUGCAAUAUGUGUGCAACCACAGUCACAAGCAUUCCGAAACAUACAAACGUCAGGUUAAUAUGAAACUACACGAGAUUCUAAGCCAGUUUCAUAUAGGACACGAUCAAAACGGAGCAACGGUUCAACAACUACAAGCUAUACAAGAUAUAGACAUAAUUUGCCAAAAUAGAGGUCAAGAUGCACUACAACAUACAACUAAUAACAUCUACCAUGGAAGCAUGGAUCACUAGGAAAAGAACUCACAAAAUGGCAUCUCACACCCAGUUUCAGACUUAGCGAAAAUAUCAGUUUUAGAUAGUGCAGUUUUCGAUCUGAAGGCAUGUUGACAGCAGCACAACUAUAUGCUACAGGACUUCAAAUGGCAUGAAAAUUCAUAGCAUGCUAGAGCAUCUUAAGGGCUACAACUAACUCCAUUGCACCAACCUCAAAAGAUGUAUAGAUCACCAGAUAAACUCAUGACCAGACAACAACAAAAUAUAACAGAUUUCAGACUUAGAAAUAUUUCAACAUCUCCAAAACAGCACUAUUUCUAGCAUGUUUAAAGCAAGCAAACACCACCUAAACAUGGAUUUCUAUUGCAACCAAAAUUAUCAGAGGCUAGCCUACACAUCCAAGGGCAUAUCUCUAGUUGACAACUCAUUCAUAUGAUGCACGAAUUAAAUCCCACAAAAUAAACAAAACGGCAACAUGGCAAAAUAUCACACGCACUAACUUGCUCAAAAGCUAAAACUACAUGCACAGUUAGAUUCUAUGGAUUUUUCUACCCCGAAAACAUAUAUAAUAUGUGGGGUUGCAAAAUAAAAACAUCACCACACGUAUAUGCGAGAAUAUGUCCUAAACGCGAUAUAACAAACUAGUGACGGAACCUACAUGCAAAAAUGCAAACAACUACUCUAAUAUACUUGGCAAAUGGUCCCUAUAAUGUGAGCUUUCAAACUACAUCAUUUGAGCAAUCCGGACACGCGCGAAAAUAAAUACGGGGUAAUCAACAUAUUAGGACAACACGCAAAACUAGGCAUAUGGCGGAUCAAAUCGCUCCAAACAUGCUUGCAAGUUGAAAAAUAAUAAUCUACGCGGAAAACUAAUCAAGUUCCAUAUAUAAUUCAUUCUGAUCCGAUGCACGGAUAAUAAACUACCCGCGUUUUUAAAAUCUAGCAAUUUUCUGAAAUUGGAUUAAUUCGCAGGAAAUAUAAUAAAACCUACGGGCCGAAUCUACACAUGGGCCAAAACAGAGCAGGACGCUACUUAGUAAUCCUACACACGGGCGACGAAUAGGGGGAUAAGGGGGGGUGCUCACCCUGCGCUUGGGCCGGCUGAAGAGGAGGAGGCGGCCUGGUUUGGGGCGGUUCUGGGCCUCGCCUGGCUCGUGGGCCACGGCGGUUGAGGCGAGGAGGCUGGCGGGGCGCGCGGCCAGGCGCUGGGAAGGAGCCCGGCCCCGAUCGUGGCGUGGUCAACGCCCGAGGCGAGCGAGCGCGAGGAACGCUCGAGCGGGGAGGCUCCUCCUCGCCCGCUCGAGGCCCACGCGCAAGCCGGCGCGUUGCAGAUCUGGCGAGGGCGGGCCCGGGCAGUCAACAGAUCUGACGAGAUCCCGAUCCAGCUCCCGCAUGUGGUGGCGGCGCCCAACGCGAUGGGAGGAGGGAGAGCAGGGACGGGGAGCAGGGUCAGGAGGCGAGGGAUGCCGAGGGGUGGCGCGGCUGGGUGCGGCGGCGACGUGGAGUAGAUGGCGCUCGGCUCGGGGCAUCACGGGGCCAGGGCGAGCAGGCGGCGGCGCGGACGAACCGGGCUCGGGCGCGCUUGCCGUGGGCCUGGCGGACUGCGGCGCUGGGAGGUGAGAGAGGCUACGGUGGGGAGGAGAGAGGAGGCUAGGGUUUGCACGCAAAUCGAGGAGAGAGGGGAUUUGCUGUCUAAAAUGGCAUGGGUGUCUAUUUAUAACAAUGGGGGGCUAGGUUUAGCAGUUUUUCGCCUCUGUUUCAACCGCGCGAUCUAAAUCGGACGGUUUCAAACGGGGGAAAGGCUAAGUGGCCAUGUAGAGUAGGCUAGCCGUUGAUGAGAGGGAAACGGGCACCCGACAACGUGAUUUUUAAGACACCAAAAAAAAGUCUGACGAUUGACCGAAUACGGUGCCGCUACGAUCGACCAUUCGGGUACGAGACGGACUCCGAUUGUGACAAAAAUUGGCAGGCGGUCUACCUACAUCUAAAUAAGACCGCACGAUAAGUCCCAACUCAAUCAGAGAAUAUUUUAAAACACACUUUUAAAAACAAGGUUUUAACGAUGUCGCGGGCGCGUGCGAGUGUGGUCGGGCUCGAGACGGUCAACGACGAAACGGAGAGCACCGCAACUAAUAAUGGAUGCAAGUUUUGAAAACUGGCGGCAACGGGAUGCUGAUGCUAUGCGGAUGAUGCAAAUGAUGCGAUGAUGAUGCGACAAAUAAAAAUAAUCACACGACGAAAACGGAAUAAAGGGGGAAUCUUCUGGAACCUCGGUCUUGGGUUGUCACAAUUAUGGAGGUGAUAAAAGAGUUCGUCGUAAAGGGUUACGUUGAUGCAAGCUUUGACACUAAUGCGGAUGACUUUGAGAAGUAAACCUGAUUCGUAUAGUGGAGCAGUCAUUUGGAAUAGUUCCAAAUGGCACGUUGGUAGCGGCACCUACACGAUGACAUAGAGAUUUGUAUAGCACACUCAGAUCUGAAAGGUUCAGACUCAUUGACUAAAAAUCUCUCUCACAAGCAAGACAUGAUCGAACCCUAGAACUGUAUGGGUGUUGGAUUCGUUAAGAUCACAUAGUGAUGUGAACUAGAUUAUUGACUCUAGUGCAAGUGGGAGACUCUUGGAAAUAUUCCCUAGAGGCAAUAAUAAAUUAGUUAUUAUUAUAUUUCCUUGUUCAUGAUAAUCGUUUAUUAUCCGUGCUAGAAUUGUAUUGAAUGGAAACUCAAAUACAUGUGUGGAUACAUAGGCAACACAUUGUCCCUAGUGAGCCUCUAGUUGACUAGCUCGUUAUUCAAAGAUGGUCAAGGUUUCCUCGCCAUAGACAAGUGUUGUUACUUGAUAACGGGAUCACAUCAUUAGGAGAAUGAUGUGACGGACAAGACACAAACUAUGAACAUAGCAUAUGAUUAUGUUAUUUAAUUGCUACUGUUUUCUGCAUGUCAAUGUAUCUGUCCUAUGACCAUGAGAUCAUGCAACUACCGGACACCGGAGGAAUGCCUCGUGUGUAUCAAACGCCGCAACGUAACUGGGUGACUAUAAAGGUGCUCUACACGUAUCUCUGAAGGUGUUUGUUGGGUUUUCGUGAAUCAAGACUAAGAUUUGUCACUCUGUGUGACGGAGAGGUAUCUCAGGUCCCACUCGGUAAUGCAACAUCACAACAAGCCUUGCAAGCAAUAUGACUAAAGAGUUAGUCACGAGAUCUUGUAUUAUGGAACGAGUAAAGAUACUUACCGGUAACGAGAUUGAACUAGGUAUGUGAUACGUCUCCAACGUAUCUAUAAUUUUUGAUGGUUUCAUGCUAUUAUCUUGUCAAACUUUGGAUGUUUUGCAUGCUUUUUGUUUAUUUUCUGGGACUAACUUAUUAACUCAGUGCCAAGUGGCAGUUCCUAUUUUUUCCAUGUUUUUGACCCCUUUCAGAGAAGAUUUUAAAACGGGGUACAAACGGAAGAAAAUCACCGAAAAGAUUUUUUUGGAACGGAAGAAGAUCGGAGAACUUGGGAGCCAAGCCAGAGGAGCGUGAGGGGCCCCACAAGCCCCCACCCUGCAGCCAGGGGAUUUAUGAUCAGAUUAUCUAUGAAUUUUAUUUGAGUUUCUUCUGAUCUCUCUUAUGCAUGAUUUCAUAUCCUUGUAAUUCUCUUCGAGUGGUGGGUUUUGCCUGGCCAACUAGAUCUAUGAUUCUUGCAAUGGGAGAAGUGCUUGGUUUUGGGUUCAUACCGUGCGGUGACCUCACCCAGUGACAGAAGGGGUAGCGAGGCACGCAUCGUGUUGUUGCCAUCAAGGGUAAAAAGAUGAGGUUUUCAUCGUUGGUUUAAGAUUAUCCCUCUACAUCAUGUCAUCUUCCUUAAAGCGUUACUCUGUUCGUCAUGAACUCAAUACACUAGAUGCAUGCUGGAUAGCGGUCGAUGUGUGGAGUAAUAGUAGUAGAUGCAGAAAGUAUCGGUCUACUUGUCUCGGACGUGAUGCCUAUAUGCAUGAUUAUUGCCUUAGUUAUCGUCAUGACUUUGCGCGGUUCUAUCAAUUGCUCGACAGUAAUUUGUUCACCCACCAUGAUACUUGCUAUUUUGAGAGAAGCCUCUAGUGAACACUAUGGCCCCCAGGGUCUACUCCACACCAUAUUUUCAGCCUUACACUUUUUACUUUGUUGCACUUUCCGCCUUUAGAUCUCACUUUGCAAACAAUCUUGAAGGGAUUGACAACCCCUUUGAAGCGUUGGGUGCAAGCUUGUUUAUGUUUGCGCAUGUACUUUGGACUUGACGAGUCCCUCCUUCUGCAUCGGUACCUUGGUUCUCAAACUGAGGGAAAUACUUACUGCUCGUGUGCGGCAUCACCCUUUCCUCUUCAAGGGAAAAACCAGAGAAGUAACAAGAAGAAUUCCUAAGCGCCAGGGAAGGACUUUUGUUGCCGUAGCAGAAGAAUUUCUAGGGCCGUUGCCGGGGAGGAAGAAUAAGUCAAGAACUCAUCCAAGUAGGUGUCGCAAACUCAUCUCUUGCAUUUACUUUGUUUGCCAGUUGCCUCCCGUUUUCCUCUCCCCCACUUCACUAGUUUGCCUUUUUCGUUUGCCUUUUUCGUUCGCCUUUUCGUUCGCCUUUCUUCUCUCUCUUGCUUUCUGCUCGUCUAUGUGGGAUAGUCUGUCCUGCUGGCUAUAUCCACCACUUCGAAUGAUACUCCCGAGAGUGAAGUUCUCAAUUUCAAACAAAUUGAGGGAGAAAACUUAAAGGACGCUUGGUAUAGCAUUUGCAAUGCUCAGAGUAGAUCUACUCAUAAGCAAUCCACUACCGUCUUGCUUCGCAGUUUUUAUGUGGGUAUUUCUCCUUGGAAUAGGUAUAUUCUUUACACCAUUGUAGGGGGAAAUUUCUUGGGUAGCCAUACCGUUGAUUCUUACGGAGCUGUGAUAAAUUUGGUAGGCUCACCCCCACUCAUGGUUAAUGGAACUACCUUAACUCUGGAACAUGUGAUGCGUAGGCUGGACGCUAUUGAAAAUAAAGUUGCUACGAUUGAACUCAUUGAGAAUUUGGAUAAAAAGAUCCACAAUCAAAUCACUCAGUACGGAUCCAAGGUGGGAAUGGUUUUGAAAAAUUUAAAGGAGAAGGAACCCACAGUUAACGAAAAGCUAGGUCAUGAUUCCGCUAGGAUUGGAAAACUAGAGGAUGUUAUAACCAACUUGGGUUCCGCUUUUGGUGCUGUGCAGAAUACUCCAAAUUUUGCCCACAAUAAAAUCACCAAGUCUGUCUUUGUUCCUAAAAGUAGUGGUGAAUCAUCUAGCAAGAAAGAUGAAAACCUGAAGAUGAUAAGUGAUCACGCCACUUAUGGUUUGAGCACCAAAGACGACGAUACGUGAUUCUAUCGCUUCUAUGCCUAGCUAAGGGCGUUAAACAAUAGCGCUUGUUGGGAGGCAACCCAAUGAAUUUAUCUUUUUAUUUAUGUUUUGUUGCGUCCACACCAUCAUAAUUCUGUUAUGAUUGUGUUUUUUGUGUUUCUUUUUGUGUUUGAGCCAAGCAAAAUCCUUAUGACUAGUCUUGGUAAUGGUUGUUUGAUCCUGCUGGAAAAAGAUAGAAACUUUUCGCUCACGAUAUGAGUUUUCAUUUUUAUUCAGAAAGAAAUUUUGAGUUUAUUAUGUUUGAUGCUGAUUGAUAUGCUUUUUCCCUAGGGCGUCGUCAUUUUUCAGAGUUUUUGAGGUACCAGAAGUAUACGAAGUAUACUGAUUGCUACAGACUCGUCUGUUUUUGACAGAUUCUGUUUUUGUUGAGUUGGUUGCUUGUUUUGAUGAAACUAUGGUUAGUAUAGGGGGGUAUUAGCCAUGGAAAAGUGAGAAUACAGUAUCCCAUCAUCAAUAUAGAUGGAAUUCAAGUUUGCUACAGUACCAAAAUAAGUGGUAGUUUGUUUUCUUGUACUAAUGUUAUCACAAGUUUCUGUUUAAGUUUUGUGUUGUGAAGUUUUCAAGUUUUGGGUGACGUUCUCAUGCCACAAAGAGAUAAGGAGUGGAAAGAGCUCAAUCUUGGGGAUGCCCAAGGCAUCCCAAGCCAAAUUCAAGGACACCAAAAAUCCUAAGCUUGGGGAUGCCCCGGGAAGGCAUCCCCUUUUUAGUCUUCAAUCCAUCGGUAACAUUACUUGGAGCUAUAUUUUUAUUCACCACAUGAUAUGUGUUUUGCUUGGAGCGUCUUGUAUCUUAGGAGUCUUUUCUUUUUGUUGUGUCACAAUCAUCCUUGCUGCACACCUUUUUGAGAGAGAGAGACAUGCACUCAUCAUGUUUUUUCUAGAAUGCUCAUAGUGCUUCACUUAUAUCUUUUGAGAUAGAUACUUUUGCUCUAGUGCUUCACUUAUAUCUUUUGAGCUAGAUACUUUUGCUCUAGUGCUUCACUUAUAUCUUUUGAGCUAGAUACUUUUGCUCUUGUGCUUCACUUAUAUCUUUAGAGCACGGCGGUGCGUGAUUUGGUAGUUGGCUUAUGCUAUGAAAGUAGUCCCAAAUGUGAUAGGUACCCAAAGAGGAUGCAAAAACCUCCAUCUUCAUGUGCAUUGAGUAGAAAGAGAAGUUUUGAUUCCUCUCAAUUAGUUUUGAGACGUGGAUUCGGCAAUAUUGAGAGUUAUGUUAGUAGGGUGUUGUGAAUCUAGAGAUACUUGUGUUGGAGUUAGUGAUUCCCGUAGUAUGCACGUAUGGUGAACCGCUAUGUUAGGAAGUCCGAGCAUAAUUGAUCUAUUGAUUGUCAUCCUUUGUGUUGAGGUCGGGAUCGCGUGAUGGUUUAUACCUACCAACCCUUCCCCUCGGAGUAUGCAUUUAGCACUUUGUUUCGAUUACUAAUAAAAACUUUCGCAACAAGUAUGUGAGUUCUUUAUGACUAAUGUGAGCCCAUGGUAUAGAUGCACUUUCACCUUCCACCAUUGCUAGCCUCUCUAGUGCUGCGCAAUUCUCGCCGGUGCACAAACCCACCAAAUUCCUUCCUCAAAACAGCCACCAUACCUACCUACUAUGGCAUUUUCAUAGCCAUUCCGGGAUAUAUUGCCGUGCAACUCCCACCGUUCCGUCUCAUGACUUGUGCCGUCACUCUCAUAUUGCCAUUGCAUGAUCGUAAGAUAGCUAGCGAGAUGUUUCAAUGUCAUAUGCCAUGCUAGAUCAUUGGACAUCCGGUACACUGCCGGAGGCAUUUCCUACGGAGUCAUCAUCAUUGUGAUCUUUGAGCUUCGAGUAACUACUAGCAAAAGGACCCGUGCGUUGCAACGGGAGAAAAAAAUUAUAAUCUCCAAUGAUGCUGAUCAUAUUAUGUCUUUAAAAUUUUAGGACAUUUCUUGAAAUGCAUGAUAAUUUUUUGAAUUAGGAAACAUUUUUUUCAAUUGCACUCAAAAACUAACACACAAACUUUUUUUUCAAAAUCAUGGACUUUUAUUGUUUUCACCAACAUUGUUCUCAAAAUUAUGAACAUUUUUCUGAAUAUGUGAAUAUUUUUACAAAAAUUCUAAGCAUUUUUUGAAUUCACAAACAUUUUAUAUUUUCUUCAAACUUUUAUUUCAAAAUUCCCAGUUUUAUAAAUUGCAAAAGUUUUUCAAAGUUCUAAAUUAUUUAAAAUAAAAAAUGGAACAGGAAAAUAAAAAUAAAAAAUGAGACUAAAACACAGGCACGAACUGUUUUUAAGAUUUUUACACGAACUUUUGUUUAAAAUCGUUGACUUUUUUAUUUUAUGGACAUUUUCUCAAAGUUUAAAUAUAUUUUUAUAUGCAAACAUUUUUCAAAACUCCUGAGUAGAUUUUGAAUUCUAAAAAAAAUGUUUUUUUGAAUAUUUUAUUUCGAAAUUCUCAGUUUCUUAAAAUUGAGAAAAGUUGUUUGAAGUUCUAAAUUAUUUAAAGUAGAAAAACAAAAUGGAACUGAAAAGAAAAAAUAAAAAAACUAAACUAAAAACACACGCGCCCACGCAUGGGCCGACCCAAACAGGUGUGUUGUAUCAUUUUCCAACGCCUAGAGCGUAAUAUAGGAGGUGCCUACAUGGGCCGGCCCAGUACGAAGAUUUUCCUGUUUGAAACGUUUUUUCUGACUUAUAGGUGGCAUUGGUGGGUAAUUUUAGUCAACUUUAAGGACAAUUUGAAUGACGUACGGAAGAAGCACUAUUUGCUUUGUUAGUAGGUAAAGAAAAAGUGUGAUGAUCAUCACUAUUAGAGCAUUGUCCCAUGUGAGGAAAAAAAAGAGGCCAAAGAGCCCAAAAAAAGGAGGCCUAAGAGCCCAAAUAAAAAACAGAGAAAAAGAGAGAAGGGACAAUGCUACUAUCUUUUUCCACACUUGUGCUUCAUGUUAGCACCAUGUUCUUCAUGACUGAGAGCUUCUUGCUUUGUCACUGCCAUAUGCUAGUGGGAAUCUUCGUUUUAUAACUUGGCUUGUAUAUUCCAAUGAUGGGCUUCCUCAAAAUUUCCCUAGGUCUUCGUGAGCAAGCAAGUUGGAUGCACAACCACUAGUUUUCCUCUUGAGCUUUCACAUACUUAUAGCUCUAGUGCAUCUCUUGUAUGGCAAUCCCUACUCACUCACAUUGAUAUCUAUUAAUGGGCAUCUUCAUAGCCUAUUGAUACGCCGAGUCAAUGUGACCAUCCCCUCCUUUUUGUCUCACAACCACCACCACACUCUAUUCCACCUAUAGUGCUAUAUCCAUGGCUCACGCUCAUGUAUUGCGUGAUAGUUAUAAAAGUUUGAGAAAAUAAGAGUGUGAAAACAAUUACUUGGCCAAUUCCGGGGUUGUGCAUGAUUUACAUUAGUUGUGUGAGGAUGAUGGAGCAUAUCCAGCCUAUAUGAUUUUGUAGGGAUAACUUUUUUUGGCCUUGUUAUUUUGAAAGUUCAUGAUUACUUUACUAGUUUGCUUGAAGUAUUAUUGUUUUCAUGUCAAUAGCAAACUAUUCUUUUGAAUCUUACGGAUCUGAACAUUCAUGCCACAUGAAAGAAGUUGCAAAGGACAACUAUGCUAGGUAGCCUGAAAGCAUCAAAAAUUCAUUCUUUAUCACUUCCCUACUCGAGGACGAGCAGGAGUUAAGCUUGGGGAUGCUUGAUACGUCUCCAACAUAUCUAUAAUUUUUGAUGGUUUCAUGCUAUUGUCUUGUCAAACUUUGGAUGUUUUGCAUGCUUUUUAUUUAUUUUUUGGGACUAACUUAUUAACUCAGUGCCAAGUGUCAGUUCCUGUUUUUUCCAUGUUUUAACCCCUUUCAAAGGAGAUUUUGAAAUGGAGUCCAAACGGAAGAAAAUCCCCGAAAAGAUUUUUUUUGGAACGGAAGAAGAUCGGAGAACUUGGGAGCCAAGCCAGAGGAGCGCCAGGAGGCCCACAAGCCCCCACCCCGCGGCGAGAGGGGCGCCAUCCAGGCUUGUGGGUUCGAUGGAGGUCCCCUGACCUAGAUCUUGCGCCUAUAUAUUCCCAAAUAUUCCCAAAAAAUCAGGAGACGAUCGCUAUUACUUUUCCACCGCCGCAAGCUUCUGUCUCCGCAAGAUCCCAUCUGGGCACAUCCUGGUGCCCUGCCGAAGGGGGGAUUCGGACACGGAGGGCUUCUUUAUCAACACCAUGACCUCUCCGAUGAUGCUAGAGUAGUUCACCAUAGACCUACGGGUCCAUAGCUAGUAACUAAAUGGCUUCUUCUCUCUCUUGGAUCUUCAAUACAAAGUUCUCCAUGAUCUUCAUGGAUAUCUAUCCGAUGUAAUCUUCUUUUGCGGUGUGUUUGUCGAGAUCCGAUGAAUUGUGGAUUUAUGAUCAGAUUAUCUAUGAAUCUUAUUUGAGUUUCUGCAGAUCUCUCUUAUGCAUAAUUUCAUAUCCUUGUAAUUCUCUUCGAGUUGUGGGUUUUGUCUGGCCAACUAGAUCUAUGAUUCUUGCAAUGGGAGAAGUGCUUGCUUUUGGGUUCAUACCGUGCGGUGACCUCACCCAGUGACAGAAGGGGUAGCGAGGCACAUAUCGUGUUGUUGCCAUAAAGGGUAAAAAGAUGGGGUUUUCAUCAUUGGUUUGAGAUUAUCCCUCUACAUCAUGUCAUCUUGCUUAAAGCGUUACUCUGUUUGUCAUGAACUCAAUACACUAGAUGCAUGCUGGAUAGCGGUCGAUGUGUGGAGUAAUAGUAGUAGAUGCAGAAAGUAUCGGUGUACUUGUCUCGGACGUGAUGCCUAUAUGCAUGACCAUUGCCUUAGAUAUCGUCAUGACUUUGCGCGGUUCUAUCAAUUGCUCGACGGUAAUUUGUUCACCCACCGUGAUACUUGCUUUUUUGAGACAAGCCUCUAGUGAACACUAUGGCCCCCAGGGUCUACUCCACACCAUAUUUUCAGCCUUACACUGUUUACUUUGUUGCACUUUCCACCUCCAGAUCUCACUUUGCAAACAAUCUUGAAGGGAUUGACAACCCCUUUGAAGCGUUGGGUGCAAGCUUGUUUGUGUUUGCGCAGGUGCUUUGGACUUGACGAGGCCCUCCUUCUGGAUCGAUACCUUGGUUCUAAAACUGAGGGAAAUACUUAUUGCUCCUGUGCUGCAUCACCCUUUCCUCUUCAAGGGAAAAACUAACGCAAACCAGAGAAGUAACAAGAAGAAUUCCUAAGCGCCAGGGCAGGACUUUUGUUGCCAUAGCAGUAUGGAGAUACCGAUGAUCGAAUCUCGCGCAAGUAACAAACCGAAGGACAAAGGGAACAACAUACGUGAUUAACUGAAUCCUUGACAUAGAGGUUCAACCGAUAGAGAUAUUCGUAGAAUAUGUAAAUGUUGGAAUUAUGCCCUAGAGGCAAUAAUAAAUAUAGUUAUUAUUAUAAUUCAUGUAUCAAGAUAAUCGUUUAUUAUCCAUGCUAUAAUUGUAUUGAAUGAAGACUCAUUUACAUGUGUGGAUACAUAGAGAAAACACUAUCCCUAGCAAGCCUCUAGUUGGCUAGCCAGUUGAUCAAAGAAAGUCAGUGUCUUCUGAUUAUGAACAAGGUGUUGUUGCUUGAUAACUGGAUCACGUCAUUAGGAGAAUCACGUGAUGGACUAGACCCAAACUAAUAGACGUAGCAUGUUGAUCGUGUCAUUUUGUUGCUACUGUUUUCUGCGUGUCAAAUAUUUGUUCCUAUGACCAUGAGAUCAUAUAACUCACUAACACCGGUGGAAUACUUUGUGUGUAUCAAACGUCGCAACGUAACUGGGUGACUAUAAAGAUGCUCUACAGGUAUCUCCGAAGGUGUUCGUUGAGUUNNNNNNNNNNNNNNNNNNNNNNNNNNNNNNNNNNNNNNNNNNNNNNNNNNNNNNNNNNNNNNNNNNNNNNNNNNNNNNNNNNNNNNNNNNNNNNNNNNNNNNNNNNNNNNNNNNNNNNNNNNNNNNNNNNNNNNNNNNNNNNNNNNNNNNNNNNNNNNNNNNNNNNNNNNNNNNNNNNNNNNNNNNNNNNNNNNNNNNNNNNNNNNNNNNNNNNNNNNNNNNNNNNNNNNNNNNNNNNNNNNNNNNNNNNNNNNNNNNNNNNNNNNNNNNNNNNGGGUCCUUGGACUCUAAGGCAAGGCUCCCCCUCUUCCCCCUAUAUAUACGGAGGUUUUAGGGCUGAUUUGAUACGACUUUUCCACGGCAGCCCGACCACAUACCUCCACGGUUUUUCCUCUAGAUCGCGUUUCUGCGGAGCUCGGGUGGAGCCCUGCUGAGACAAGAUCAGCAACAACCUCCGGAGCGCCGUCACGCUGCCGGAGAACUCUUCUCCCUCUCCGUCUCUCUUGCUGGAUCAAGAAGGCCGAGAUCAUCGUCGAGCUGUACGUGUGCUGAACGCGGAGGUGCCGUCCGUUCGGCACUAGAUCGUGGGACUGAUCGCGGGACGGUUCGCGGGGCGGAUCGAGGGAUGUGAGGACGUUCCACUACAUCAACCACGUUCACUAACGCUUCUGCUGUACGGUCUACAAGGGUAGGUAGAUCACACAUCCCCUCUCGUAGAUGGACAUCACCAUGAUAGGUCUUCGUGCGCGUAGGAAAAUUUUAGUUUCCCAUGCGACGUUCCCCAACAGUGGCAUCAUGAGCUAGGUUCAUGUGUAGAUGUAUUCUCGAGUAGAACACAAAAGUUUUUGUGGGCGGUGAUGUGCGUUUUGCUGCCCUCCUUAGUCUUUUCUUGAUUCCGCGGUAUUGUUGGAUCGAAGCGGCUCGGACCGACAUUACUCGUACGCUUACGAGAGACUGGUUUCAUUGCUACGAGUAACUCCGUUGCUCAAAGAUGACUGGCGGGUGUCAGUUUCUCCAACUUUAGUUGAAUCAGAUUUGACCGAGGAGGUCCUUGGAUGAGGUUAAAUAGCAACUCAUAUAUCUCCAUUGUGGUGUUUGCGUAAGUAAGAUGCGAUCCUACUAGAUACCCAUGGUCACCACGUAAAACAUGCAACAACAAAAUUAGAGGACAUCUAACUUGUUUUUGCAGGGUAUGCUUGUGAUGUGAUAUGGCCAACGAUGUGAUGUGAUAUAUUGGAUGUAUGAGAUGAUCAUGUUGUAAUAGAUAAUAUCGACUUGCACGUCGAUGGUACGGCAACCGGCAGGAGCCAUAGGGUUGUCUUUAUACUAACGUUUGUGCUUGCAGAUGCGUUUACUAUUUUGCUAGGAUGUAGCUUUAGUAGUAAUAGCAUGAGUAGCACGACAACCCCGAUGGCAACACGUUGAUGGAGAUCAUGGUGUGGCGCCGGUGACAAGAAGAUCGUGUCGGUGCUUGGUGAUGGAGAUCAAGGAGCACGUGAUGAUGGCCAUAUCAUGUCACUUAUGAAUUACAUGUGAUUUUAAUCCUUUUAUGCACCUUAUUUUGCCUAGAAUGACGGUAGCAUUAUGAGGUGAUCUCUCACUAAAAUUUCAAGACGAAAUUGUGUUCUCCCCGACUGUGCACCGUUGCUACAGUUCGUCGUUUCGAGACACCACGUGAUGAUCGGGUGUGAUAGACUCAACGUUCACAUACAACGGGUGCAAAACAGUUGCGCACGUGGAACACUCGGGUUAAGCUUGACGAGCCAAGCAUGUGCAGACAUGGCCUCGGAACACAUGAGACCGAAAGGUCGAUCAUGAAUCAUAUAGAUGAUAUGAUUAGCAUUGGGAUGCUUACCACUGAAACUAUGCUCAACUCACGUGAUGAUCGGACUUGAGCUAGUGUAAGUGGAUCAUGAACCACUCAAAUGACUAGAGAGAUGUACUUUUUGAGUGGGAGUUUAGCGAGUAAUUUGAUUAAGUUAAAGUCUAAUUAUCUUGAACAUAGUCUAAGUCCACUUUGAAUAUAUUUGUGUUGUAGAUCAUGGCUCACGCGACAGUCACCCUGAAUUUUAAUACGUUCCUAGAGAAAGCUAAGUUGAAAGAUGAUGGAAGCAACUUUGUAGACUGGGCUCGUAAUCUUAAGCUAAUCUUACAAGCUGAGAAGAAGGAUUAUGUCCUUAAUGCUGCGCUAGGAGAUGAACCACCCGAUACGGCUGAUCAGGAUGUUAAGAACGCUUGGUUAGCACGUAAGGAGGACUACUCAGUAGUUCAAUGUGCAGUCUUGUAUGGCUUAGAACCGGGACUUCAACGUCGCUUUGAGCGUCAUGGAGCAUUUGAGAUGUUCCAGGAGUUGAAGUUUAUCUUUCAAAAGAAUGCCCGGAUCGAGAGGUAUGAGACCUCCGAUAAAUUCUCUGCUUGCAAGAUGGAGGAGAACUCGUCUGUCAGUGAACAUGUGCUCAAAAUGUCUGGGUACUCAAACCGUCUAGCUGAGCUGGGGAUUGAACUCCCGCAAGAAGCUAUCACUGACAGAAUCCUUCAAUCACUGCCGCCAAGCUAUAAAGGCUUUGUGUUGAACUACAACAUUGAAAGGGAUGAACAAGUCUCCCGGCGAGUUGUUUGUGAUGCUGAAAGUCGCAGAGUCUGAACUCCGUAAAGAGCAUCAAGUGUUGAUGGUGAAUAAGACCACUAGUUUCAAGAGAAACGGGAAAGGCAAGAAGGGUAAUUCAAAGAAGAGCGGCAAGCCUGUUGCCAAUCCGACGAAGAAACCCAAAGCUGGACCUAAGCCUGAAACAGAGUGUUACUAUUGCAAGCGUAUGGGUCACUGGAAGCGCAAUUGCCCCAAGUAUCUGGCGGAUAAGAAGGCGGCCAAAGAAAAAUCAGGUAUAUUUGAUAUACAUGUUAUUGAUGUGUACUUAACCGGCUCUCAUAGUAGUGCCUGGGUAUUCGAUACCGGUUCUGUUGCUCAUAUUUGCAACACGAAACAGGAACUGCGGAAUAGACGAAGGCUGGCGAAGGAUGAUGUGACGAUGCGUGUAGGAAAUGGUUCCAAGGUUGAUGCAAUCGCCGUCGGCACAGUUUCACUUCAGUUACCAUCAGGAUUAGUUAUGAACUUUAAUCAUUGUUAUUUAGUGCCUGUGUUGAGCAUGAACAUUAUAUUUGGAUCUUGUUUAUUGCGAGACGGUUACUCUUUUAAGUCAGAGAAUAAUGGUUGUUCUAUUUCUACGAGUAACAUCUUUUAUGGCCAUGCACCCAAUGUGAGAGGAUUGUUCAUAUUGAAUCUUGAUAGCGAUACACACAUACAUAACAUUGAGACCAAAGAGUUAGAGUUAACAAUGAUAGCGCCAUAUUUUUGUGGCACUGCCGCUUAGGUCAUAUUGGUGUAAAGCGCAUGAAGAAACUCCAUGCCGAUGGAAUUUUGGAGUCACUUGACUUUGAUUCACUUGACACGUGCGAACCAUGCCUCAUGGGCAAGAUGACUAAAACUCCGUUCUCCGGAACAAUGGAGCGUGCAAGUGACUUGUUGGAAAUCAUACAUACCGAUGUGUGUGGUCCGAUGAGCGUAGAGGCACGCGGCGGAUAUCGUUAUUUUCUCACCUUCACUGACGAUUUGAGUAGAUAUGGUUAUGUCUACUUAAUGAAGCACAAGUCUGAAACAUUUGAAAAGUUCAAGCAAUUUCAGAGUGAAGUUGAAAAUCAUCAUAACAAGAAGAUCAAGUUCCUAUGGUCUGAUCGUGGGGGUGAAUAUCUGAGUUUCGAGUUUGCUGCUCACUUAAGACAAUGUGGAAUUGUUUCACAAUUGACACCGCCUCGAACACCACAGCGUAAUGGUGUGUCCGAACGUCGUAAUCGUACUUUAUUAGAGAUGGUGCGAUCUAUGAUGUCUCUUACCGAUUUGCCAUUAUCAUUUUGGGGUUAUGCAUUAGAAACAGCUGCAUUCACUUUAAAUAGGGCACCAUCAAAAUCCGUUCAGACGACACCAUACGAUCUGUGGUAUGGCAAAAGGCCAAAGUUGUCGUUUCUUAAAGUUUGGGGAUGUGAUGCUUAUGUCAAAAAGCUUCAGCCUGAAAAGCUGGAAUCCAAAACGGAAAAGUGCAUCUUCAAAGGUUACCCAAAAGAGAUAGUUGGGUACACCUUCUAUCUCAAAUCCGAGGGCAAAGUGUUUGUUGCUAAAAACGGAGCUUUUCGCAAGAAGUAGUUUCUCUCGAGAGAAUUGAGUGGGAGGAUAGAACUUGACGAGGUUGUCGAACCUCUCAUCCCUAUGGAUGGUGGCGCAGGGAAAGGGGAAACCUCUGUCAUUGCGACGCCGGUUGAGGAGGAAGUUAAUGAUGAUGAUCAUGAAACUCCGGUUCAAGUUUCUGUUGAACCACGCAGGUCGACGAGACCACGUGCUGCUCAAGAGUGGUACGGUAAUCCCGUCUUAUCAAUCAUGUUGUUAGACAACAAUGAACCUGCAAAUUAUGAAGAAGCAAUGGUGGGCCCAGAUUCCAACAAAUGGCUAGAAGCCAUGAAGUCCGAGAUAGGAUCCAUGUAUGAGAACAAAGUGUGGACUUUGGAAGUACUGCCUGAGGGCCACAAGGCUAUUCAGAACAAAUGGAUCUUUAAGAGGAAGACGGACGCUGACGGCAAUGUGACCGUUUAUAAAGCUCGACUUGUGGCAAAGGGUUUUUCACAAGUUCAAGGAGUUGACUACGAUUAGACAUUCUCACCCGUAGCGAUGCUUAAGUCCGUCAGAAUCAUGUUAGCAAUAGCUGCAUUUUUCGAUUAUGAAAUCUGGCAGAUGGAUGUCAAAACGGCGUUCCUUAACGGUUUCCUUAAGGAAGAGUUGUAUAUCAUGCAACCCGAAGGUUUUGUCGGUCCUAAGAAUGCUAAGAAGGUGUGCAAGCUCCAGCGAUCCAUUUAUGGACUGGUGCAAGCAUCUCGGAGUUGGAACAAACGCUUUGAUGAGGUGAUCAAAGCAUUUGGGUUUAUACAAGUGGUUGGAGAAUCUUGUAUUUACAAGAAAGUGAGUGGGAGCUCUGUGGCGUUUCUAAUAUUAUAUGUGGAUGACAUAUUGCUGAUUGGAAACAACGUAGAGUUUUUGGAGAGCAUAAAGGAUUACUUGAAUAAAAGUUUCUCUAUGAAGGACCUAGGAGAAGCUGCUUACAUUCUAGGCAUUAAGAUCUACAGGGAUAGAUCAAAACGCCUGAUAGGACUUUCACAAAGCACAUACCUUGAUAAAGUUUUGAAGAGGUUCAAAAUGGAACAGUCCAAGAAAGGGUUCUUGCCAGUUUUACAAGGUACGAGAUUGAGUAAGACUCAGUGCCCAGCAACUGAUAAGGAUAGAGAGCAUAUGAGCACCGUCCCCUAUGCUUCAGCCAUAGGUUCGACGUUGUUUUAUGCGUAUUUGAGUUAUAUGGUUGGUUACCGAAUGUUGUUCGGAGUCCCGGAUAAGAUCACAGACGUCACGAGGGUUUCCGGAAUGGUCCGGAAACGAAGAUUGAUAUAUAGGAUGACCUCAUUUGAUUACCGGAAGGUUUUCAGAGUUACCGGUAAUGUACCGGGAAUGACGAAUGGGUUCCGGGAGUUCACCGGGGGGGGGGGCUACCCACCUCGGGGAAGCCCAUAGGCCUUGGGGGUGGCACACCAGCCCUUAGUGGGCUGGUGGGACAACCCAAGAAGGCCCUAUGCGCCAUAGGAAGAAAAUUAAAGAGAGAAAAAAGAGGAGGUGGGAAAGGGAAGAAGGACUCCACCUUCCAAACCAAGUUGGAUUCGGUUUGGAAGGGGAGACCUUCCCCCCUUGGCUCGGCCGAAACCCUUAGGGGUCCUUGGACCCCCAAGGCAAGGCUCCCCGUUUCCCCCUAUAUAUACGGAGGUUUUAGGGCUGAUUUGAUACGACUUUUCCACGGCAGCCCGACCACAUACCUCCACGGUUUUUCCUCUAGAUCGCGUUUCUGCGGAGCUCGGGCGGAGCCCUGCUGAGACAAGAUCAGCACCAACCUCCGAAGAACCGUCACGCUGCCGGAGAACUCUUCUAUCUCUCCGUCUCUCUUGCUGGAUCAAGAAGGCCAAGAUCAUCUUCGAGCUGUACGUGUGUUGAACGCGGAGGUGCCGUCCGUUCGGCACUAGAUCGUGGGACUGAUCGCGGGACGGUUCGCGGGGCGGAUCGAGGGACGUGAGGACGUUCCACUACAUUAAUCGCGUUCACUAACGCUUCUGCUGUACGGUCUACAAGGGUAUGUAGAUCACACAUCCCCUCUCGUAGAUGGACAUCACCAUGAUAGGUCUUCGUGCGCGUAGGAAAUUUUUUGUUUCCCAUGCGACGUUCCCCAACAGUAAAAGCCUAUAUGGGCAUCCAGGCCUUCUAUUGGUUAUUGACCGGAGAAUGUCUCAGGUCAUGUCUACAUAGUUCUCGAACCAUUAGGGUCUGCAAACUUAAGGUUCGGUGACAUUUCGGUAUAGUUGAGUUAUAGGUGUUGGUGACCGAAGGUUGUUCGGAGUCCCGAAUGAGAUCUUGGACAUCAGGAGUAGCUCCACAAUGGUCCAGAGGUAAAGAUUGAUAUAUAGGAAGUCCCGUUUUGGUCACCGGAAAAGUUUCUGGCUCAUCGAUAGUGUACCAGGAGGGUGUCGGGGGACCACUGGGAUGCGUGUGAUGACCCAAGGGAUUCAUGGGCUGUGAGAGGAGGUGGACCAGCCCUUGGUUGUCUGGACGAAGCCUCCCCUAAAGGCCCAUGCGGCUGGGAGUGGAGGGAUAAGGCAAGAAAGUUUAAAAGGAAAGGAGGAAGAGUCCUCCCAAGGGAGUCCACCUCCCUUGUGGGAGGAGGACUCUCCCUUAGUUUCGGCCGAACCUCUCCUCCUUGGAGGAGGGGCCAAGGAAGCCUCCCCUCUCCCUCCUCCUAUAUAUAAUAGAGGUUUUAGAGGUGAGGGCUAACCCUAAUUGCCACGUGCUCCCUCUACUUUAUCUAGAUCGUUAUCUCCUCUUGUCUAGUUCGGCAGUGCUUAGGCAAAGCCCUGCCGAAAUAGUUCCACCACCACCACUACCACGCCGUCAUGCUGGAGAACUCAUCUACCUCUCCGCACCUCUUUCUAGAUCAAGAAGGCGGUGAUCGUCAUCGAGCUGUACGUGUGUGAUACGUCUCAAACGUAUCUAUAAUUUUUGAUGGUUUCACGCUGUUAUCUUGUCUUCUUUGGUUGUUUUAUGUACCUUUUAUAUCUUUUUGGGACUAACUUAUUAAUUCAGUGCCAAGUGCCAGUUCCUAUUUUUUCCUUGUUUUUGACUCUUUUCAGAUCUGAUUUUGGAAUGGAUUCCAAACGGAAGAAAAACCCCGAAAUGAUGUUUUCCUGAACGGAAGAAGAUCAGGGGCCUUUGGCCAAGCCAGGUGGGCUCUAGGGAGCCCACAAGUCCCCACUCCGCCACCAGGGGGAGGCGGCGGUGGGCAGGCUUGUGGCCUCCCUGGCCGCCCCCUGACCUAGAUCUUUGGCCUAUAAAUUCCCAAAUAUUCCGCAAAAAAUAAGGGGAGCCACGAAAAUACUUUUUCGCCGCCGCAAGCUUCCCUUUCCGCGAGAUCUCAUCUGGAGACCCUUCCCCGCGCCCUGCCGGAGGGGACUUUGUAGUUGGAGGGCUUCUUCAUCAUCAUAAUCACCCCUCCAAUGACUCGUGAGUAGUUCACUUCAGACCUACGGGUCCGUAGUUAGUAGCUAGAUGGCUUCUUCUCUCUCUUGGAUCUUCAAUACAAUGUUCUCCAUGAUCUUCAUGGAGAUCUAUCCGAUGUAAUCUUCUUUGGCGGUGUGUUUGUCGAGAUCCGAUGAAUUUUGGAUUUGUGACCAGAUUAUCUAUGAUAUAUAUUUGUGUCUUUGCUGAUUUCUUAUAUGCAUGAUUUGAUAUCCUUGUAAGUCUCUCCGAGUCUUGGGUUUUGUUUGGCCAACUAGAUCUAUUAUUCUCGCAAUGGGAGAAGUGCUUGGUUUUGGGUUCUGCCAUGUGGUGACCUUUCCUAGUGACAGUAGGGGUAGCAAGGCACACAUCAAGUAGUUGCCAUCAAGGGUAAAAAGAUGGGGUUUUUAUCAUUGGUUUGAGAUUAUCCCUCUACAUCAUGUCAUCUUGCUUAAGCCGUUACUCUGUUCUUAUGGACUUAAUACACUAGAUGCAUGCUGGAUAGCGAUCGACGUGUGGAGUAAUAGUAGUAGAUGCAGACAGUAUCGGUCUACUUGUUUUGGACGUGAUGCCUAUAGAAAUAAUCAUUGCAUAGAUAUCGUCACGACUUUGCGCGGUUCUAUCAAUUGCUCGACAGUAAUUUGUUCACCCACCGUCUACUUGCUUUCAUGAGAGAAGCCACUAGUAAACACUACGGCCCCCGGGUCUAUUCACAUCCAUCGUUUACACCUCCGCUUUUACUUUGCUUUGUUACUUUGUUGCUUUCAGUUCUCACUUGGCAAACAAUCUAUAAGG
Molecule: long non-coding RNA, 40058 nt
Filed under: Hordeum vulgare
Lineage: Eukaryota; Viridiplantae; Streptophyta; Magnoliopsida; Poales; Poaceae
Description: long non-coding RNA (HVUL_LNC003351)
Source: RNAcentral